This 509-nucleotide ribosomal RNA is filed under the name uncultured bacterium. RNAcentral describes it as "partial 16S ribosomal RNA". The stretch from base 20 to 332 matches the Rfam family "Bacterial small subunit ribosomal RNA", at positions 47 to 358 of the family's 1533-position model. The record is from RNAcentral.
GACGAACGCUGGCGGCGUGCUUAACACAUGCAAGUCGAACGGAAAGGCCCUGCUUUUGUGGGGUGCUCGAGUGGCGAACGGGUGAGUAACACGUGAGUAACCUGCCCUUGACUUUGGGAUAACUUCAGGAAACUGGGGCUAAUACCGGAUAGGAGCUCCUGCUGCAUGGUGGGGGUUGGAAAGUUUCGGCGGUUGGGGAUGGACUCGCGGCUUAUCAGCUUGUUGGUGGGGUAGUGGCUUACCAAGGCUUUGACGGGUAGCCGGCCUGAGAGGGUGACCGGCGACGGUGGGGGGGGGGUAGGGCGCCGACGGGGGGGGGGGGGAGCGGUGGGGGGAGUGCGCGGGCGGGCGGGCGAGGGAGGCACGAGCGGGGGGUGUGGGGCGGCGGCUCUGGGGCUGGUAGCCGGUGGCGCGGGUGACGGGGGGUGAGUGGCGGUAAGGGGGAACGACGCACAGGGGAAGUACGGGCCUGAGGCAGCGGAAAGUGGAGGACGAGCACCCUUACCAAC